GACCUCUCCACGUUGCUCCUUUGUAAGAUUCAUUCCCUCCUUUAUCAUCCAUGGAGGCAAAACUUUCAUCGGUGUAACUGAAACCUCGGAUUUGAUAUCUCCUUUUUCUUCAAGACCAGAGAAAGCAACUUCAACCUUUGUCUCCCCUACAAACGGCAUAGGUGUUCCACCAAAUCCAAGCCCUUGUCCUGACUUUGAGUCAUUUCCAUUAUCUCCAUUUGCACCACGGGCCACAGCGUUGGCUCGCACUUCCCAUGCUUGAAGGCUUCCAA
RNAcentral lists this unclassified non-coding RNA (272 nucleotides) under Hevea brasiliensis (rubber tree). The record is from RNAcentral. Lineage: Eukaryota; Viridiplantae; Streptophyta; Magnoliopsida; Malpighiales; Euphorbiaceae.